UCAAUUCAUUGGAGAGUCAAUCCAAUAUCCACCUAGAGUUUUGCCAAUUUGGAACAUAGCGUAAACUAGUCCUUUUAUUUUUAACUUGCACAAUUCUGCUCUAUUUACUAAUGUCGUGUUUUAUGCCAAUUCUAGCUCUACAUCCAUGCCAUUCUCGAAGAUGGUUACACACUCUACAUGUGGUAUAUGCUCAGUAGGCUAAUCCAUGUCCUAGAUCCUUGCUCUAGUCUCCAUGAUGCCAUGUUUGGAUGUGUCAAUGAGUUCUUUGUUGGCUGGACUACUCAGAAAGACGAUUGGGGCAUGAAGUUUCCUAUGGUGGUUGACACGAAGUUCUGACCAAGUUUAUAGCUUAUAUCGUUUCUCUAUCAAGGAGGAGUCUACUCUAGGCUUUGCGUUCUUCACCUUUUCCACUACUAUGACUGUCAAAGGCUUAAAUUCUCCCUAACCAAGUACAACAUCACCAAGCUUAAAAAGACAACCGUCCAUGAUAUUAUGAAGCUUCAGAGGAACAUGUCUCCACUUGCGGGAGAUGCUCUAUGGACUGUACUUGCGCCUUGUGAUGGUUUUCGAGAUCUUGAAUGAAAGAAGAAGCUCCUCGACUACUUAUAUCCACAAGAAUGCCGCAGUUUCCAUUUCAACUUUCUUGAAUGCAAUGCUAACUUGUUUUGCAAGCAUUUGUCACGAAACCAACUAUCUUCUAUGAUUAUCUUGGGUUUA
Aegilops tauschii subsp. strangulata is the source of this 717-nucleotide non-coding RNA. NCBI's taxonomy places the organism in Eukaryota, Viridiplantae, Streptophyta, Magnoliopsida, Poales, Poaceae. The record is from RefSeq and is a predicted model, not a curated record.